This 473-nucleotide ribosomal RNA is filed under the name Pseudomonas sp. RNAcentral's name for it is "bacterial SSU rRNA". Lineage: Bacteria; Pseudomonadati; Pseudomonadota; Gammaproteobacteria; Pseudomonadales; Pseudomonadaceae. The record is from RNAcentral.
UGAGUAAUGCCUACGAAUCUGCCUGGKAGUGGGGGACAACGUUUCGAAAGGAACGCUAAGACCGCAYACGUCCUACGGGAGAAAGCAGGGGACCUUCGGGCCUUGCGCUAUCAUAUGAGCCUAGGUCGGAUUACCUAGUUGGUGGGGUAAUGGCUCACCAAGGCGACGAUCCGUAACUGGUCUGAGAGGAUGAUCAGUCACACUGGAACUGAGACACGGUCCAGACUCCUACGGGAGGCAGCAGUGGGGAAUAUUGGACAAUGGGCGAAAGCCUGAUCCAGCCAUGCCGCGUGUGUGAAGAAGGUCUUCGGAUUGUAAAGCACUUUAAGUUGGGAGGAAGGGCAGUAAGUUAAUACCUUGCUGUUUUGACGUUACCGACAGAAUAAGCACCGGCUAACUCUGUGCCAGCAGCCGCGGUAAUACAGAGGGUGCAAGCGUUAAUCGGAAUUACUGGGCGUAAAGCGCGCGUAGGU